Molecule: ribosomal RNA, 577 nt
Filed under: uncultured bacterium
Lineage: Bacteria
Description: bacterial SSU rRNA
Rfam family: Bacterial small subunit ribosomal RNA
Source: RNAcentral
GUAAGGAAUAUUGGUCAAUGGACGCAAGUCUGAACCAGCCAUGCCGCGUGCAGGAUGAAGGCCCUCUGGGUUGUAAACUGCUUUUAUCUGGGACGAAAAACGGACCUUCUAGUUCACUUGACGGUACCAGAGGAAUAAGCACCGGCUAACUCCGUGCCAGCAGCCGCGGUAAUACGGAGGGUGCAAGCGUUAUCCGGAUUUACUGGGUUUAAAGGGUGCGUAGGUGGAUAGGUAAGUCAGUGGUGAAAUCUUCAAGCUUAACUUGGAAACUGCCAUUGAUACUAUUUAUCUUGAAUACUUUGGAGGUAAGCGGAAUAUGUCAUGUAGCGGUGAAAUGCUUAGAUAUGACAUAGAACACCAAUUGCGAAGGCAGCUUACUACACAGUUAUUGACACUGAGGCACGAAAGCGUGGGGAUCAAACAGGAUUAGAUACCCUGGUAGUCCACGCCCUAAACGAUGGAUACUCGACAUUAGCGAUACACAGUUAGUGUCUGAGCGAAAGCAUUAAGUAUCUCACCUGGGAAGUACGACCGCAAGGUUGAAACUCAAAUGAAUUGACGGGGGUCCGCACAAGCG